This 3500-nucleotide ribosomal RNA is filed under the name Triticum aestivum (bread wheat). RNAcentral describes it as "partial small subunit ribosomal RNA". Lineage: Eukaryota; Viridiplantae; Streptophyta; Magnoliopsida; Poales; Poaceae. The record is from RNAcentral.
GUUUUGUCUAGCGGCCCUGUUUUUGUUUUGUCUUGCGACCCUGUUUUUGUUUUGUCUCAGGUUAGGGCGUGCGUUGGAGGAGGGGCAAGGAGAGACGGGACGCGGCAGGGGUAGGAGACAUCUUCCUCGUGCCGAGAGCAGCUACACGGACCACCCCUAGGCCACGUAGGGGAGAGGCGAGCGGAGGAGGAGAGGACCCAGGGACGCAACGGCCGAGUCGGCGAAGAGGACGUAGAAGAGGAGGGACGAAGAGAGGAGGAUCAGCUCAGGACCUGGUCUAGCCGCAGGCCGCGUCCUCCGAGCCCCACCAGCGUCCAAGCCCGCGGUAAAGGAAGGAAGGGCAUGUGACCCUAGUUUGUCGGGCGCCGGACCGCCACGGCCGGACCUAGGCCUCCGUCUACCUGGUCUAGGACCUCGGCCCGUGCUUCCUCGAGCUCCAGCUGCUGAGGCCGAAGCAGGAGGAGGAGACUGCAGCGGUGGAACGAGUCCAGGUUGUGCAGAUAGGUAGCGGGGUCAAAAAUGGUAAAGCAGUACUAAUGGUAGGGUGCGGUAGGUAUCCCACACGGAAGACGGGAAGAGUGGUGAGACUUGAGCCUCGUUCACCUUAAACCCAACCCCUUCAAAAAGCUCGAGCUUUAAUUUGGGUCAAGAUCUUAUCAUCUACGACCACGACUCUACCAGCCAUCCGUCACCGUGAGUAUCCAGAGGUAACGAAGUUUAGAUAAACCAAAAUCCACUAAACCGUGGGUUUUGAGUGUUGUGACAACGAUGUGUAGUCAAGUCCUUAGUUCCGUUUAUCGCCAUAAAGGGAAACCCCACUUACCUGCUUGACUAAUACCCUUCUGGUUGGUUCAUCAAAUAUGUUAUGAGUGUUAAAGAGUGUGAAGGUCGCUUAAUUUGACUGCUAAUCUACACGGAAGAGAGUAAGCAUGUAACAAACCCCCAAACCAAACUCUUCACCCAACGUCGUGAGUACUAAAACGAACAAAGUCCCUACCUUACUUAACCCCCAGUGGUAGAUUGUGUGUGUGUGUGUGUGUGUGUGUCUCCCUCUCUAUCUCCUAUUAAGACAAAUAAUGCAGUUGGUACAUCAUCUUUGGUCUAUCUUGAUUUGUCGAUCCCAAAACUUCAACGGAGCCAUCGACUUAGUACCAGGUACUUAAACACAUUUUGCUGUUCACGCGAUGACUUAAUUUUAAGAUGGACAAGUAAGGUAACGGGUCAAUGGUAGACUCUCCAAGAAAAAACGGUGGCGUUGAGAUUAAUCUAACAAUAUCAAGUCUGAUUCCCCUAGUUCUAAUCAGUAGACAAUCGAUACAUGAUACCUGGAGUUGUGAUCGACUCAUCGAUGCAUCGAUUAGUAACUAGAACAGAACCCACUUUCCGACCGCAAACAAUUAAGUCUAUGACUUUCAAAAGACAAGGGUAAAGGACCUAACGCCCAGGACUACGCGUUCUAAGAAGACAAACGAUACCCAGGACCUGCUACCGUUCGUAACUGCACGCAUGCGGCAACGUUGUCGGUGUGGAGUUGGGAGGGCUGCGUGCGUUAUUAGUCGCCACGGUUUUACUAAACCACAAACGUUUCCAGCGAAAACAACGUAAAAGAUGCACUCUUUGGUAGAGUCCGAUAAACCUACGUGGACGUGUCAUGACUAUCAUGUACUUUAAGUAGUUGGACGACAACGGCGUUGGUUGGUUUUAAACGAGAUUGUCUCACUACUUAUGUUAUACGUACGAUUCGAAAGAAGUUUAAUACGAUUAACUAGAAUUUUUCGACCGAUGACCACAAUAAACGACGUUAAAUAAAGACUGUCGGUCCAUCAGAACCUUACGAAAGCAUUACGUUAAAUAAAGACUAUCUGUUCGAUACGAUUAACUAGAACUUUUCGACCGAUGACCACAAUAGACGAAACACCUUCCGACAAUCGUAAUUUGAAAUCACGAGCGGACAAGUAGUAUCAGAGUAAGGGAUCUAUUAAUUACUCCGUACUUUUUAUCCACUUUAACGUCCUUUUAACUUCUACCCUUGUGCUAAGUAAAACAGUUACCCUUGUAGAUGACAAUGUCUAUGUGAAAGACAUAAGAUGGAUAGCUACCACAUUACAAACUUAUAGUUCAGUAAAGAAAAACAGUAAUCGUCAACGAAAAUAAAUACAAGUAUAAGGUUCAUACGUACACGACGAGGCCACCACAAAAUAAUCAACUAACCGUAUAUACCUAGAGAGGUACAAAUAAUCAACUAGAGGUUGGGGAUGAGACGACACCAAGACACCCUCGUUCUUCUCGUACGUACGAAAGAGAGAUGUAGAUCCCAGGUAUGCCGGUCUAACUGCCCGGAUUUGAGACCGAGUUUCCAAAGAAAGUUCUUAGUACUCUCUUGUAAGUUCCUCACCUAAUAAACCUUUAAUCUUGGAAGUCUAAAGAAUCUUGAAGUGAACCUAAAUACACUUAUAUUCGCAUUCUCCAGAUCACCGUUACGAUGUUUUAGUGACGUCCGCUAUAUUAUUGCAACAUCUAUCUGCCUCUGACUUAGUCAACUGUGAUGAAACUACAGAUAGCUCGGUUACCCUGUUGUUUCUUUUCUUCUUGGCCUUCGUCCAAUAGAUAGAAGUGCUCGUUCAACCGCAGACAUUUGGAAGUGGCCUCGGUAAGGUCGAGAAAGUCUCGGUGUUCCGUUCCUUCAACUCCUUGGUUCUGGGGUUGCCACGUCUCGUCAAACGGUAGCUCUCCUGAUCCCGACGGUAUUCCCUGGACAUCUGGUUCGAGUUGUAGAGGGAGCACGGAGGUAGUUGUGGCACAGGACCUCCCAGCAGCGGCAGGCGCUGCUGCUCGAUGACGGCGUCGAAACGGUCGGCGUGCCAAUCUCCCUCCGUAGUUCCCGGACGGUGGCGAGGGCCCCGGCUACACUAUAAGGUUAUAUGUUAUUCAAGGUAGUUCUUAACGUACAUGUACACGACGAUAGGACUAGGUUUUUCCUUUCAUUUUUCCCGCAAGUAGAUGGACCGUGGCAGGUCUACGGGGAGUUCGCCGCACGGUGCCCGCGCGGGGUUGAUGAUCAAAAAUGGUUCUCGAACUGAGUUACCUACAGAAACAGACUGUAACUGACGUUUCAAGAGGUAUUCUUUUAUCAUUUGUAUAAAAUAGAAAAACCUUGACCUUCUAAUUAAACAACCGAUCCCUUUAAUCACAAAAGUGCUCUUUGUCCCAACCUUUAUGCAAGAAGUUAUUGUUCCAGGACUUAUGUUUAAUCUUGAAGUCUUUCAACUCUAACGGUUUAGCGUGACACGUAUAACUAAACCUUUCGGGGGUAAAGUCAUCCCCGUACAAUCCUCGGUGCCCACCUCUACAGUUUCCAGGCACUCGGUUGAUGACGUUAGUUUAAGUUGGUUUAUAUGGAGAAGAUCCAGCUGGAAAACAUGAUAAUAACAUUUUGUUAUAAAAGAAAAACCAGUACAACCUACAAAACCGACACACAUAGCACGAUACGUCUCCGACCC